RNAcentral lists this transfer RNA (71 nucleotides) under Marmota monax (woodchuck). RNAcentral's name for it is "tRNA.Ala". The stretch from base 6 to 66 matches the Rfam family "tRNA", at positions 6 to 65 of the family's 71-position model. From Rfam's summary of the family: Transfer RNA (tRNA) molecules are approximately 80 nucleotides in length. Lineage: Eukaryota; Metazoa; Chordata; Mammalia; Rodentia; Sciuridae. The record is from RNAcentral.
GAGGCUGUAACUCAGUGGUAGAGUGCUUACCUGGCAUGUAUGAGGCCCUGGGUUUGAUCCCUAGCACCACA